This 657-nucleotide ribosomal RNA is filed under the name uncultured bacterium. RNAcentral describes it as "bacterial SSU rRNA". It matches the Rfam family "Bacterial small subunit ribosomal RNA", at positions 232 to 885 of the family's 1533-position model. The record is from RNAcentral.
CGCGGCCUAUCAGCUUGUUGGUGGGGUGAUGGCCUACCAAGGCGACGACGGGUAGCCGGCCUGAGAGGGUGUCCGGCCACACUGGGACUGAGAUACGGCCCAGACUCCUACGGGAGGCAGCAGUGGGGAAUAUUGCACAAUGGGCGCAAGCCUGAUGCAGCGACGCCGCGUGGGGGAUGACGGCCUUCGGGUUGUAAACCUCUUUCACCAUCGGCGAAGCCCAUAGCUUGUGUUGUGGGUGACGGUAGGUGGAGAAGAAGCACCGGCCAACUACGUGCCAGCAGCCGCGGUAAUACGUAGGGUGCGAGCGUUGUCCGGAAUUACUGGGCGUAAAGAGCUCGUAGGUGGUUUGUCGCGUUGUCCGUGAAAUUCCCUGGCUUAACUGGGGGCGUGCGGGCGAUACGGGCAGACUGGAGUACUGCAGGGGAGACUGGAAUUCCUGGUGUAGCGGUGGAAUGCGCAGAUAUCAGGAGGAACACCGGUGGCGAAGGCGGGUCUCUGGGCAGUAACUGACGCUGAGGAGCGAAAGCGUGGGGAGCGAACAGGAUUAGAUACCCUGGUAGUCCACGCCGUAAACGGUGGGUACUAGGUGUGGGUUUCCUUCCUUGGGAUCCGUGCCGUAGCUAACGCAUUAAGUACCCCGCCUGGGGAGUACGG